AACGAACGCUGGCGGCAUGCCUAACACAUGCAAGUCGAACGAGAACUUCGGGUCUAGUGGCGCACGGGUGCGUAACGCGUUGGAACCUGCCCUUAGGUUCGGCAUAACUCCCCGAACGGGAUGAUAAUACCGGAAAAUGUCUUCGGACCACUGAUUUCUCGCCAUUGGAUGGGCCCGCGUUGGAUUAGCUGGUUGGGAGGGUAAUAGCCUACCAAGGUGAGGAUCCUGAGCUGGUCGGAGGGGAUGAUCAGCUACACUGGGGAUGAGACACGGCCCAGACGCGUACGGGAGGGAGCAGUGGGUAAUGUAGGACGAGGGGGGAAAGCCUGAUGCAGCAGUGCCGGGGGAGAUGGGAAAGGCGUUGUGUACUAAAGCUCGUUUACCCGAGGUGAUAAUGACGGUACCGGAAGAAUAAGCACCGGCUAACUCCGUG
Molecule: ribosomal RNA, 433 nt
Filed under: uncultured bacterium
Lineage: Bacteria
Description: partial 16S ribosomal RNA
Rfam family: Bacterial small subunit ribosomal RNA
Source: RNAcentral